GCAACUUGUAGUACUACUCAAAGUGUUUAUGUUACUGAAGGUUGUAGUUGUGACAGUACUACCCAAAUUAUUCCGAAUGUUUCUGCUACUGAAGGUUGUAAUUGUGCCUCCAGUACUACUCUACCUAUUGCAGUUAGUGUAUCAGUGACAUUUAUACUGACAGCUAUACUGUCUUCAACACUGACACUAAUACUGACACUGCUGUGUGUUAGGAGCAGAUCUAAUAAACCAGUUGAACAGGUUGAACUAGUUGAACAGGCUAAACGAGAUGAGGGAGGAUCAACAGCAUCAGUUGCUGUGUAUGAUGAGAUCACUACUACUAAAGGAGGAGCCACCAGUUCUGUUCCACUAACAAGUAAUCCAGCUUAUGGACCACUGAGAAAUUAACAUACUCAUUCUCAAGUUGUUUUUAUAUUUAGCGUAGUGUGAUUAUAGUCACUUAAUAUUCAAUUAUUUUAUUUUUUAAUUAUUUUACAUUGUUCAAAUUUUGCAUUGUUUUUUUAGUUCUGAUCUUUUUUUACGAUUUAAAAAUUUUAAAUAUACUUUUUGUUUCUCAAUG
Amphimedon queenslandica is the source of this 559-nucleotide long non-coding RNA. RefSeq lists it as uncharacterized. The record is from RefSeq and is a predicted model, not a curated record. Lineage: Eukaryota; Metazoa; Porifera; Demospongiae; Haplosclerida; Niphatidae. The transcript is spliced from 3 exons.